UCAUGCCCUUCCGCAAACCAAACCAAACUCUUGAGAAAACGCUGAUUAGUGAUUCUUCCUCUGAAUGAUUCAAAAUGAAGAACCGUUGUUAUGGUUAGUUGUGUGACCUAACAUGGAGAACGAGGAAGCCAAAGAACCCAAACGGAUCUGCCAAGAUAAAAUGCGACAUCCUAUCCUUCUUGCAUGGUCAGAAAUAGAUCUGAUUUACACGCAUUUAUCCGUUUCCAACCAACUAAGUCGGCCAAAAUCUCAAUAUAGUGAAUCAUCAUUCAAAGCAUUGGGACCCGGAUAAUCUCGUACCAUAAAUGCGUUGUACUGUUGAAUGGAACUAAUAUGGUUGAUGAACUACAAGAUCCAACUCAAAGAAGCCUGAUCAUUCUAGGGAGAAGUUGUUGCUUUGUUGGCUGGCUUGGCACAAAUGACAACCUCCCUGAUUACUGAACAGUUUUGCUAAUGCAGCUGCAAUCUGGUACAGAGAUUAAGUGUUUAAUUUCUUGUGAAAUUAAAAAGAAAAAUUAUAGACUUGAUAUAUUAUCAGAUUGAGUGAAUACCCGAGUUUCAUUGCUUUGGUUGAUGGUUCACUGUAUUUGUAUUGAGACUGUGGCUGACUUAGCUGGAGACUGAUAGAUGCAAGUGAAUCAUAUCCAUUUCUGACGUUGUAAGAAGGAUUGGAUGCCACAUUUUCUUCAUUUGUACUCCUUGCUUCAUAAACCUAAGAUUGAUCCAAAUCUUUUGUUUAGGUUUAGCUAAAGGAAACUUGAAGCCUUUAGCUUCGGACUAAAUAGAAGGUUUAGUUACUUUUUUGCUCUUCUAA
This is a long non-coding RNA of Glycine soja, 814 nucleotides long. RefSeq lists it as uncharacterized. NCBI's taxonomy places the organism in Eukaryota, Viridiplantae, Streptophyta, Magnoliopsida, Fabales, Fabaceae. The record is from RefSeq and is a predicted model, not a curated record. The transcript has 4 exons.